This 1235-nucleotide ribosomal RNA is filed under the name metagenome. RNAcentral's name for it is "bacterial LSU rRNA". It matches the Rfam family "Bacterial large subunit ribosomal RNA", at positions 1564 to 2808 of the family's 2925-position model. The record is from RNAcentral.
UGAAUACGAGAUGCUACGGCGUCGAAGCAGUCUAUGUCAUACUUCCAAGAAAAGCUUGCACUGUCAUAAACAAAUAAUGCCUGUACCAUAACCGACACUGGUGGGUAGGUAGAGUAUACUAAGGGGCGCGAGAUAACUCUCUCUAAGGAACUCGGCAAAAUGACUCCGUAACUUCGGGAGAAGGAGUGCCUUAUUUAUAAGGUUGCAAUAACAAGAUCCAAGCAACUGUUUACCAAAAACACAGGUCUCCGCUAAGUCGUAAGACGAUGUAUGGGGGCUGACGCCUGCCCAGUGCCAGAAGGUUAAAGAAGUUGGUUAGCAUCCGCGAAGCUGAUAACUGAAGCCCUGGUGAACGGCGGCCGUAACAAUAACGGUCCUAAGGUAGCGAAAUUCCUUGUCGGGUAAGUUCCGACCCGCACGAAAGGCGUAAUGAUUUGGAUACUGUCUCGGAGAGGGGCUCGGCGAAAUAGACUUGUCUGUGAAGAUGCGGACUACCUGCACCAGGACAGAAAGACCCUAUGAAGCUUUACUGUAACCUGAAAUUGAAAUUGGACUUUACUUGCGCAGUAUAGGUGGGAGGCGUUGAGAAUAUUCUUGCGGGAUUAUUGGAGCCAUCAGUGAGAUACCACUCUUGUAAUGUUAGAUUUCUAACUUUGUAUCAUUAUCUGGUCAAAGAACAGUUUCAGGCGGGCAGUUUGACUGGGGCGGUCGCCUCCUAAACGGUAACGGAGGCGCACAAAGGUUUCCUCUGAACGGGUAGAAAUCGUAUCUAGAGUGUAAAGGCAUAAGGAAGCUUGACUGUGAGACCUACAAGUCGAGCAGGGACGAAAGUCGGUCUUAGUGAUCUGACGGUGCUGAGUGGAAAGGCCGUCACUCAACGGAUAAAAGUUACUCUAAGGAUAACAGGCUGAUCUCCCCCAAGAGUUCACAUCGACGGGGAGGUUUGGCACCUCGAUGUCGGCUCAUCGCAUCCUGGGGCGGUAGUACGUCCCAAGGGUUGGGCUGUUCGCCCAUGAAAGCGGUACGCGAGCUGGGUUCAGAACGUCGUGAGACAGUUCGGUCCAUAUCCGGUGUAGGCGUUAGAAUAUUGAGAGGAGCCUUCUUUAGUACGAGAGGACCGAGAAGGACAUACCUCUGGUGUACCAGUUAUCGUGCCAACGGUAAACGCUGGGUAGCUAUGUGUGGAGUGGAUAACCGCUGAAAGCAUCUAAGUGGGAAGCCCACCUCAAGAUAAG